Molecule: non-coding RNA, 564 nt
Organism: Delphinapterus leucas (beluga whale)
Lineage: Eukaryota; Metazoa; Chordata; Mammalia; Artiodactyla; Monodontidae
Source: RefSeq, a predicted model, not a curated record
AGAUUACUCACCUCCCCUGCUGGUCAUUAAAUCAGUCUGGCAGAAUACCUCGGAAGUUCUGUGGCCUUCCGGGCAUGCGGCAGCAGUACAGGCAGUGCGGCAGACAGGCCUGCUUGCUGUGAUGUGCUACCAAGCAGGUGACUUCAAAGGUCUGCUUCAAGCCUAUCUCAGGUAUCACUUGGGGCUCAUACUGAGCCCCAAAGUCAGGUACCAGAUGGCAUAUACCACAAAGUCAGAGCUGAUCAGAUCCCCUAGCUCCUGCGCCAAGGGAUGCUGCAACCUCUCAGGUGCUGGGCUACCUCCCGUCUGCUGACCUGAGGCCAGGGCCUCACAUCAAAGACAUCAACUCCCUGAGACGGCUGGUGUGAAGUGCAGGCACGUCUCAUCUGGACACUUCUGCCUGGAGCCUCCCAGAGAUGGCUGCUGCAGAGUUGACCCAUCCAAUCUCCUGACUGGAGCAUCAGACUCUGGCUGCUGAUAUUCUGGAGUUGUUGGCAGGGAGAAGAUUAGUGGUCUCAACAUUCAAUCUCCUGGAAGACAUUGACCUUCUCUCUGUCACUAUAG